RNAcentral lists this transfer RNA (68 nucleotides) under Melanosuchus niger (black caiman). Its description in RNAcentral is "tRNA-Val". Lineage: Eukaryota; Metazoa; Chordata; Crocodylia; Alligatoridae. The record is from RNAcentral.
CAAGAUGUAGCUUAAAUACAAAGCACUCAGCCUACACCUGAAAAAUGCCCACAACUGGACCACCUUGA